Molecule: ribosomal RNA, 483 nt
Filed under: uncultured bacterium
Lineage: Bacteria
Description: partial 16S ribosomal RNA
Rfam family: Bacterial small subunit ribosomal RNA
Source: RNAcentral
GACGAACGCUGGCGGCGUGCUUAACACAUGCAAGUCGAACGAUGAUGCCCAGCUUGCUGGGUGGAUUAGUGGCGAACGGGUGAGUAACACGUGAGUAACCUGCCCCUGACUCUGGGAUAAGCGUUGGAAACGACGUCUAAUACUGGAUAUGACUGCCGGCCGCAUGGUCUGGUGGUGGAAAGAUUUUUUGGUUGGGGAUGGACUCGCGGCCUAUCAGCUUGUUGGUGAGGUAAUGGCUCACCAAGGCGACGACGGGUAGCCGGCCUGCGAGGGUGCCCGGCCACACUGGGACUGUGACGCGGCCGAGACUCCUACGGGUGGCAGCAGUGGGGAAUAUUGCACGAUGGGCGAAAGCCUGAUGCAGCAGCGCCGCGUGAGGGAUGACGGCCUUCGGGUUGUAAACCUCUUUUAGUAGGGAAGAAGCGAAAGGGACGGUACCUGCAGAAAAAGCACCGGCUAACUACGUGCCAGCCGCCGCGGUAA